UCAGCGACUGGGGUGAAGUCGUAACAAGGUAGCCGUAGGGGAACCUGCGGCUGGAUCACCUCCUUU
RNAcentral lists this non-coding RNA (66 nucleotides) under Celeribacter baekdonensis B30. Its description in RNAcentral is "Bacterial small subunit ribosomal RNA". It matches the Rfam family "Bacterial small subunit ribosomal RNA", at positions 1468 to 1533 of the family's 1533-position model. RNAcentral also lists the same sequence under 10 other names. The record is from Rfam by way of RNAcentral. Lineage: Bacteria; Pseudomonadati; Pseudomonadota; Alphaproteobacteria; Rhodobacterales; Roseobacteraceae.